Anoxybacillus sp. B7M1 is the source of this 93-nucleotide non-coding RNA. The record is from Rfam. NCBI's taxonomy places the organism in Bacteria, Bacillati, Bacillota, Bacilli, Caryophanales, Anoxybacillaceae.
UCCGUGGUGACGCGGAAUCUGAAGGAAGCGAGCGGCAAACUAUUGAAAUCCAUAAAUUCUGCAAAUUUAAUUUAUAAAAUAAAAAUUACUUCU